RNAcentral lists this ribosomal RNA (253 nucleotides) under uncultured bacterium. RNAcentral describes it as "partial 16S ribosomal RNA". It matches the Rfam family "Bacterial small subunit ribosomal RNA", at positions 524 to 776 of the family's 1533-position model. The record is from RNAcentral.
UACGUAGGUGGCAAGCGUUGUUCGGAAUUACUGGGCGUAAAGGGCGCGUAGGCGGCCCUCUAAGUCGAACGUGAAAUCCCCGGGCUCAACCCGGGAACUGCGUCCGAUACUGGAGGGCUCGAAUCCGGGAGAGGGAUGUGGAAUUCCAGGUGUAGCGGUGAAAUGCGUAGAUAUCUGGAGGAACACCGGUGGCGAAGGCGGCAUCCUGGACCGGUAUUGACGCUGAGGCGCGAAAGCGUGGGGAUCAAACAGG